CAUGGCUCAGGAUGAACGCUAGCGGCAGGCCUAAUACAUGCAAGUCGAACGAGCUUAGUUCUUUCGGGAACUAGGUUAGUGGCGCACGGGUGCGUAACGCGUAUGCAACUUACCUUCCACAGGGGGAUAGCCCACCGAAAGGUGGAUUAAUACCGCAUAACAUCAUUUGAGGGCAUCCGAAGAUGAUCAAAGCUGCGGCGGUGGAAGAUGGGCAUGCGUGCCAUUAGCUAGUUGGUAGGGUAACGGCUUACCAAGGCGACGAUGGCUAGGGGUUCUGAGAGGAUGGUCCCCCACACUGGUACUGAGACACGGACCAGACUCCUACGGGAGGCAGCAGUAGGGAAUAUUGGGCAAUGGCCGAGAGGCUGACCCAGCCAUGCCGCGUGCGGGAAGAAGGCCUUCUGGGUUGUAAACUGCUUUUAUCUAGGAAGAAAACGCCCUUGCGAGGGUAACUGACGGUACUAGAUGAAUAAGCACCGGCUAACUCCGUGCCAGCAGCCGCGGGUAAUACGGAGGGUGCAAGCGUUGUCCGGAUUUAUUGGGUUUAAAGGGUGCGUAGGCGGGCCCUGUAAGUCAGUGGCGAAAUCCCAGGCUCAACCCUGGAACUGCCAUUGAUACUGCAGGCUUGAGUUCGGGUUAAAGGCGGGCCGGAAACUGGGUGGUUGUAGCGGUGAAAUGCAUAGAUACCACCAAGGAACCCCGAAUUGCGUAGGCAGCUCCGCUGGAGCCNAACUGACGCUGGAGCAACGAAAG
Molecule: ribosomal RNA, 753 nt
Filed under: uncultured bacterium
Lineage: Bacteria
Description: bacterial SSU rRNA
Rfam family: Bacterial small subunit ribosomal RNA
Source: RNAcentral